This 106-nucleotide transfer RNA is filed under the name Candidatus Woesearchaeota archaeon. Its description in RNAcentral is "tRNA-Asn". It matches the Rfam family "tRNA". Rfam says of the family: Transfer RNA (tRNA) molecules are approximately 80 nucleotides in length. Their secondary structure includes four short double-helical elements and three loops (D, anti-codon, and T loops). Further hydrogen bonds mediate the characteristic L-shaped molecular structure. tRNAs have two regions of fundamental functional importance: the anti-codon, which is responsible for specific mRNA codon recognition, and the 3' end, to which the tRNAs corresponding amino acid is attached (by aminoacyl-tRNA synthetases). tRNAs cope with the degeneracy of the genetic code in two manners: having more than one tRNA (with a specific anti-codon) for a particular amino acid; and 'wobble' base-pairing, i.e. permitting non-standard base-pairing at the 3rd anti-codon position. Lineage: Archaea; Nanobdellati; Candidatus Woesearchaeota. The record is from RNAcentral.
GCCUCAGUAGCUCAGCAUACCACCUAGCCCUUUGGUUAGAUGAUCUGAAGGGUAGAGCACCUGACUGUUAAUCAGGUGGUCGCUGGUUCGAGUCCAGCCUGAGGCG